AGUGCUUUAUGAUUUAGUAUAAGCAACAAAUAUUUAAUAGAAUUAAUUAAUAGAAAUAUGCUUUUCAGUUGUAGUUGCUUUCUGCCGUCAAACUCCCUCUAAUGUCACUGAAAUACUAAAUAUUUCUCUGUCUUAAAUAAAACUAUCAGCCUCUUCACUGUCAGUUUUAUUUAUGUUAUUGUCAGCCAAGGAUAAUUUACAUGGAAAAUCUGUCUGAAAUCUAUAAGUUAUCUACUUCAACACUGUAAUAUGUUUUUCUAAUCAUUUUAUGCUCUUACCUUGAUGUCAUGUAGCUACAGGGUCCCUUAAAAAUCUGGAAUUUCCUGGAGUUAUUUGUAAAAGUGUGAGGAGAAAACUUCAGCUUAGCUUAGUUGCCAGACUCUAUUUAAAUCACUCUAUUGGAAGAAAUUUAAAGUUGCAGAAAUCUAACUCCAAUUUACAUCCACAAUCUAUAUGUCGCCACAUCUCCACUUCAGCAUUUAUUGAACUUACUGAUACUUUUGGUUUCCCCAGCAUUUUGUUUUGUUGUUUUGUUUUUUCUAUGCUUUUGAAAAAUUUUUGCAUUCAAAUGGUUGGGAAAUGUUUUAAAUUUGCAUCUAGAGAAGCAUUACAGUGGAAGAAACCCUGUUCAUAAUUCUCCAUGACUUAAUGAAAUUAACGCUUACUACACAUUUAAUAAAGUUUUUUUUUUCUAGAAGAUAGUUUAAACCCGUGUUCCCUCCAAAGUUUUAACUACUCCUUAAACACCUGUACGGUGUGGCGGGAGGGGGCAAUAUAUAAAAUUAUAUCCAACCAGCAUUUUCUCUGCUUUUAUUGAUAAAGUUCUUAAACUAUUUCUAAGUUGCUCAAAAGUAUAAUUUAUUAAGUUGUAGAAUUAAACCCUUUAACGGCCAAAAACACUUAAGAAAAUUCAACACGCUAUUAGAUCCCUUUCAUGGCACUCUGGGCUUGUUUUUUUGUUUGUUUUUUUAACACUGAUAUGUUUUAGUUCAUCUUCAUGUCCCACCUGCUGCUCUGAACAGUCAUUGCUACACACAAUUAAUUUCCCUUCAAGGGAUUUAUUUUUUUUUUUUUUAAACAUUCUGCAAAAAGCCAUUUAUCAACUCCAAACACAAACAUGCUUGUCAUUUGUAUCAUCUUCUGCGGUGCAAGUGAAGACAGCAGCUGUCAGUGGAGGCCUAAUGCUCUUAACUGUCCCGUCAGUUCUGCCAUUUCCUUUUUUAUCUUUUGUGACGAACCUUGCUGUCAGUGUUUUGAGACAAAUGUCUCGGCCUUUUGUUCGGAGACUAGUUCAGAAUAAUAACUGCAGGCGGCUCAGCAGUUCAGCUCGUCUGUGUUUGUUUAAAAGUGAAUCGAAGCUGAGCUCUGCAACGCAACACUUGCUUCCUCUGGUAUUCUGACGGUUCAUAUUUGAUGGAUGAGCUUCAGGUGUUGAAGUCGGAAAGACCUAACCAGGUUCAAAUCAGGACUCUCCGCUCCACACAGCACUCAGAUCGGGAAAAGCACAUGCUGGUUAGAUGAAAAUAUCACUUUAAAUCCAAAUCUGUUGGCGUUCUGCAUCAUUUUGAACUUGGCUGCAAUGAAGGCAGGUCUGAGAAAUCCUAACAUCUGAAUAUCUUCUUUUUCUUCUCCCAGCAGCUUACAAACAUUACCGGCGUCAACUGGACUCCACAAAUUUUAUUUACUCGUCUGAAUACUUACGUUCACUAAAGAUGUGUAGAUGUGGCAUUUGAAAAUGCGUCUUCUUCUCAGGAUCUUGUGCGAGUCGGAGUCUCUCCUGAUUGGCUGCAGCAGAGCCACACACCUGCAGCUCAUUGGAUCAUCAGCCCGGGAGGAUUUAAGGAGCUGCAAGGCCUCCACUCUCUGCUGGAUGAUUACUCAAACAUGGUAGCCUCUGGUCUGUGUAUGACUCUUCUGAGAAAUGCUAGGAUUUAUGUGACUCGCCUGUGUUUUUUUUUUUUUAGCUCUGUUUGGUUCACUCUUCUCUCUCUGAUUCUCAGCGGUCCUCUCGUGUUUUCGAGCCUGAACCAGGACCGUGUGCUCACCUGCAGCCGGUUCCUAUGCUCCCUUCCUCCCUCUGAGAAGCCUGCAAGAUGAACCUCAGACCUGAACCGAGGAGAACUUCUGCAAUGUUCUUACCUUUUUGUACAUAUUUAAAAUAAAUGCUUAAACUCA
Molecule: long non-coding RNA, 2175 nt
Organism: Xiphophorus hellerii (green swordtail)
Lineage: Eukaryota; Metazoa; Chordata; Actinopteri; Cyprinodontiformes; Poeciliidae
Exons: 2
Source: RefSeq, a predicted model, not a curated record